GGGCUUGUGGUUUAGUGGUAUAAUACUCCCUUAGCAUAGGCGGAUGGCCUGUUCAGAGCAGCUUCCGUAUAAGCUUGGGAGUGGUCCGGGGUUCGAUUCCCCGCGAGUCCA
Non-coding RNA from Hypoxylon sp. FL1150, 111 nucleotides. NCBI's taxonomy places the organism in Eukaryota, Fungi, Ascomycota, Sordariomycetes, Xylariales, Hypoxylaceae. The record is from the annotation of a GenBank genome assembly.